Molecule: non-coding RNA, 162 nt
Filed under: Paramoeba aestuarina
Lineage: Eukaryota; Discosea; Flabellinia; Dactylopodida; Paramoebidae
Source: RNAcentral
GAGAAUGAGAAAGAAAAAGAAAAAGAGAUCGAGAAAGAGGGGGAGGAAGAGACAAUUACUGUCUUAAAUGAUGUUGUUUCCCCUCUUCACCUUCACCUUCUUCCCCGCCCUCCUCUGUUCCCUUCUUAUUCUAUCUCCCUUCUUCCUUCUGUUUCUUUUGUU